This 336-nucleotide unclassified non-coding RNA is filed under the name soil metagenome. RNAcentral describes it as "partial contains 5.8S ribosomal RNA, internal transcribed spacer 2, and large subunit ribosomal RNA". The stretch from base 1 to 120 matches the Rfam family "5.8S ribosomal RNA", at positions 35 to 154 of the family's 154-position model. The record is from RNAcentral.
GAUGAAGAACGUAGCGAAAUGCGAUACGUAAUGUGAAUUGCAGAUUUCAGUGAAUCAUCGAAUCUUUGAACGCACAUUGCGCCCGCCAGUAUUCUGGCGGGCAUGCCUGUUCGAGCGUCAUUUCAACCAUCAAGCGCCUGCGCUUGUGUUGGAGCCCUGCGGCUGCCGCAGGCUCCCAAACCCAGUGGCGGGCUCGUCGUCGUACCGAGUGCAGUAAACUUACCACGCUCAGGGAACGCGGCGGGUGACCGGCCGUAAAACCCCCAAACUUAUCAAGGUUGACCUCGGAUCAGGUAGGAAUACCCGCUGAACUUAAGCAUAUCAAUAAGCGGAGGA